GCGCCCUUAGCUCAGUUGGUAGAGCAGUUGACUUUUAAUCAAUUGGUCGCAGGUUCGAAUCCUGCAGGGCGCGCCA
Molecule: transfer RNA, 76 nt
Filed under: Escherichia coli
Lineage: Bacteria; Pseudomonadati; Pseudomonadota; Gammaproteobacteria; Enterobacterales; Enterobacteriaceae
Also listed under: 4 other names
Description: tRNA-Lys
Rfam family: tRNA
About the family: Transfer RNA (tRNA) molecules are approximately 80 nucleotides in length. Their secondary structure includes four short double-helical elements and three loops (D, anti-codon, and T loops).
Source: RNAcentral